GCCUCUGUGGUGUAGUGGUAGCACACGUCACCGGCAUGCAUGAAACGCGGGUUCAACUCCUGUCUGAGAUC
Molecule: non-coding RNA, 71 nt
Organism: Parelaphostrongylus tenuis
Lineage: Eukaryota; Metazoa; Nematoda; Chromadorea; Rhabditida; Metastrongylidae
Source: the annotation of a GenBank genome assembly